RNAcentral lists this long non-coding RNA (2408 nucleotides) under Spirodela polyrhiza (greater duckweed). RNAcentral's name for it is "long non-coding RNA (SPOL_LNC000610)". The record is from RNAcentral. Lineage: Eukaryota; Viridiplantae; Streptophyta; Magnoliopsida; Alismatales; Araceae.
GGCCUAGAAAUAUGGAGAGCCCGCAGAGGUGAGGCUGAGCGGACCUGGAAGGGCGUCUGGAUCGUCCCCGUGGGUGGCUCCUGCGGGGCCGAUCGAAGCCCAGGAACGGGCUCGGAGGUGGAGGAGAGCGCCCACACGCGGGAACACGACGAGACUGGCAAAAGCCAGAUGAGCCUCACCGCGGCGUCUUCCGCCGACCCACGAUCCACGAAAGAGAGGCCACGGGCAAUCGAUCCACUGUGGCUUCCUCCCCCUUUAAAAAGCCGCUGUUCUCAAUGUGGAUGGCCCCCUGCGAGAGAGAGUGGGGGCAGGGGACAGUAGACGACGAAGAGGACGACGUGAAAUGGUGACCUGGAAAAGAAGAAAAUACCUGCCGGAUCAUCAUUGGGCAUGCAUGAAUUUUGACGAGUGGAUCAUCGCUUCUCCCCUGCAAGAAGGCAAAAAAUGAGCGCUUUUGAGCGAUCAUUCAGUAAAAUCCACAAGUGAAGCGGAGCUGGAUGGAUGGUCUCUCGUUGACUCGUCGAUCAGAGAGCGGGAACCCACCCAGAGUUCCCCUGGAGGAUCAAGGAACGGACGGAAUUUCUUCGGAUGCAAUCAAUCCCACCGUCCAAAUCAAGAAAAUAAACAGGCUCCAUCCACCAGACACCCGCGAGAUAAAAAUAAUUACCCUCCAAUCGGCAUCAAGAGGCAUCGAUUGAAAGGAAACCCAGUCUGCCCGGCUCGACUGCAAAAAAUCACUCACAAAAUCAUCGUCGUGCGGGCUACCGAUUGCAAGAGCCGAGAAGCAUCCCUCCGAAUCCAGAUGAAAGGAAAUCAAACAAGGCUGAUGAAUGGACUAAGGAAGGAUGGCUCAUAAAUGCGUGUUCCUUCCUGGCGGCGCGCGCCGGCGCAGCCGUGCUUCACGCCCCGGCUGGGAUAAAGGACGGGGAACUCAGAAUUUCACUCUGGAUGGUCAGUGCAUGAUCUGAUAAACUCGUAUCCAGUAUUUUCAGAGUCCUGCGUGCUCUCACCUGGAGACAGAACAUGCGCUGAAGAUGAUUCCAUACCCCCAAUCUGAAUCAUCAUCUGAAUAGUUUUGCAGGGUAGAGCAAAUAAGAACACUUGCCGAAUAAGGAUAAAUACUAUAUUUAAACUUAAUUUCAUAUUUAAGGAUAAAAUCAUGGCCAUACAUCUCCAUAAAUGAUAUUGAUACGUGCAGGGUAAUUUAAACGGUGCAUGCAGGAAUGCAUGCAAGACCAAAGCAUGUGAGUAUAGAGUGUGAAGAUGUUAUUCUAUGAAGGAGAAUUAUAUAAAAAAUCGUUCAUGUGCAAGAACCAGCGCGUCUGAAAUGCAUAACAGGUAACCUUGACAAGACGCCAAUAAUCGUUCAUGUGCUUAUAAAUUAAUGUUCCCCAAACUCCACGGAACCACAAUCAAGCAGCCCACCCACUCCAAUCUUCGCAUUCAUGCUUCCUUCUCUCUUUUUCCUCCACCCAAGAUCGAUCGAGUCCAGACUCGAAUUAACAGCAGAGAUUGAUGCAUAACCCCCCUCCCCCUGGGAGGCACAGAUCUCUGAUUCAGAGUGGAUCGUCAUGUUCCUGAAAGAGAGUUUCACGCCAGUGUUCUCCACAUUGCUCCAAGUUCAUCAGACGUCCCCAAGAGGGAAAUCCCAAUUCUCUGCGGUUCACCUGGUAUUAAGUUCAGAUCUGACUAAAACAAGGAUAUACAUGGAUCACUAUGGCAUUCAACGAAGGUGCAGCCGGCCAGGGGGGGGAAGGGGGGAGCUCGAAGCCGCCACCAAUCAAUCGGGGAGGUUUUCACCGUCCAAGCACAAGAUUAGAGAUCUGAGGAACCGAUUGAUUGAUUGAUUGAUCAUGUCAAGGAUCUUCGAUCAGGAAGGCUGAGGAGGAGUGCAAUCCAUCCUCCCGGCAGGGGAGGGGGGAAGAACUCGGCGUUGAUUUGACGGAGAGAUCGGGAAAUAGGGCUUUGGGAGAGCAGUGAUGCAGAGGAGCGGAGACUUUUCCUCCGAUGGUCACAUCAGACCGGCAGCCGCGGGCCGCAACGGACACCACAACCUAGGGCUCGUCAUCGUCCAUUCAUCGGAAGAUCAUAAAGAGGGCGUUCAGAUCCGCAGCGGAGAGAAGCUCACCUGGAAGAACGGAGCUGUCGAAUUGAAGUCGGCCGACGACCGCAGGAGCCGGGAGGAAGACUCUGGCGGCAUAUUCCAUCCCGGAUUCACACUCGGCGGGACUGCGCGCGUUCCCAUUCGACACAGGCAGGCCCCGUCUCUGGAAGAGCAGAAUCCAGAGAACGAGCGAGCGAGAGAGAGAGGGAGGGAGCGGGAGCGGGGGAAUGCCACGACAGAACGUCGUGGCUGCCAUUAUUAUCCCCGGCGAAACCCUAGACAAGCAGCACUAUCCCCCAGUGGC